RNAcentral lists this ribosomal RNA (109 nucleotides) under uncultured eukaryote. RNAcentral's name for it is "partial 18S ribosomal RNA". The record is from RNAcentral.
UGGUGGAGUGAUUUGUCUGGUUGACUCCGUUAGCGAACGAGAUCGACUCUUCAAUGACAGUUCGAUCGUAUUGUAGUUCAGUGCUCGGGGACGAUGCAAGCCAAUAGCA